AUGGCAAACUGGUUUCCCUUGGCUCUUGAGGGCUCUGCCCGUUCGUGGCUCAUGAACUUGCCCGAGGGCUCCAUCUCUUCGUGGGAAGAGCUUUGCGAGCAGUUUGUAGCCAGCUUCAAGGGGACCUACAAGCAGCCCGCCACCAUCAGUGAUCUCCAAGCAGUCAAGCAGCGUCCUCGCGACACCCUCCGCCAGUAUGUCCAGCGUUUCAGUCAAGUGCGCAGAAGAAUCCCUCGAAUCAGUGACGCAUCCAUCAUAGCUACCUUCAUCAGAGGAGUCGCCGAUGAGAGAAUGCUGGAGAAGUGUGCCAUCCUGGGGGAUGACCUCUCAUCAGCAGUUCAACUUUUCGAGCUCGCAGACAAGUGCGCCAAAGCAGAGGAAGGCCGACUUUUCAAGCACAGCGAUCCCGACGAGGAGCCAGGGCACCAAGCUGGAGGCAUGAGGGAAAAAAGGCCUCCUCGGGGACCGCUAGUGUGGGUACGAGGCACUGGCCACCACCUAACAAGGAGCAGCAUCAAGGGCCCGCAAGGGCCACGAAGGGUGGCAUGCAUUUUAGGCGGAGCUUAG
Molecule: ribosomal RNA, 567 nt
Filed under: Triticum aestivum (bread wheat)
Lineage: Eukaryota; Viridiplantae; Streptophyta; Magnoliopsida; Poales; Poaceae
Description: partial small subunit ribosomal RNA
Source: RNAcentral